GUGUGUGUCUGUGUGUACGUGGGGAUCUCUUAGUGCACUACACACUUCUGUAAAUUAUCAGGACUCCUCAAUUGAGGUGAGUCUACAGAGAUUUCAAAGGCUAUUUGAGUGCUAAGCUAUCUAACUAGUGGUUGGACACUAUUUAAAUAAUGUGUUAAACACAACUCUUGAGGCUCUGAAGAAUUUCUAUGCUUUCCAAUGAACCAGGAGUUACAAGGUCCUGAAAACCACAAGUGUGUUACAUCCUUUAAUAGAUAAAGCAAAGCUGAUAUUAAUGUGAAUAUACUUUAUAUUUACUUAUAUUCGUGUUAAUUUUUCUUUGCCUGUAAUACAUAUUUUUAUAUAAUGGGGAAUAAGAAACAUCUUAGGAAAAAGAAAACAAAAAAUAAAAUUUCACUGUUUACACUGUGCCUUGGUCCAGUAACCCUGCACUGCACAUAUACACUUUAAAUUGGUGUCUUGGGGAACCACCUCGGUAUUUCAUUUUAAUAGCGCAUCCUGGAGAAUAUAUUUGAGUGGAUCACAUAUUACAACUGAUUUAAAUUUUGACCCAUAUAGAAAUGUUUUCAAAAAUAUGUCUGAAGCCUGGAUACUGUAAAAAUGUUUAUCAUCAUAGAAUAAUAAAAGGCUAGCCAUUAGUUACUCAGAAAUUGUUCAGUAAAUCUAAGAUGACUUAGACAUAAAUAGUUAUGAGUGAAUAUAGUUCAUCAUUAAUGUUUGUAAAAAUUAAUGCUGUCUUUUAUGGUUGAGAAAAACUAGAAAUGUAACUUAAUUUGAUAGAGAUAAAUGACAUAAACUUUACAUAAAGCAAGAGAAUAAUAGAUGUGUAAAAAUGUUUUGUAGAUAAGAUUUUAAGAUGAAAUUGUGCUGAACGACAUGAAUCAAAUGUGUUUUGCAUACUACAUCUGCAGCUACAACAUCACAGCCUUUUAAGUAUUUCGUUAACUUCAAAAUGUAACUUAUUGCUGAAACAAUCUGAUUUAAUGAAUUGGGAUAACGGGUAAUGAUUGGUGUCAGCUGAAAGCAAUGCUACAAUUUUAAAGUUAGAUUUCUUUGUGUAUUAAUACAAACACCAGAGAAGAUGGUCAAUAAAGUAAUUACUGUACAAUGCCUAUCAUAAUACUUAAACCUGGAAGAAAAUCAGAAAAUGUUAAGUGAAUAGAAUUGGUGAAUUGUUUCCAUUUUAUACAAUUUUUUGUUCAUUUUAGGGCUUACCAAAACUUGCAGCUCUGAAUAAGGCCCAAUUAUUUACUCCUUCAAAUAAAACAAGACUGCAAGAAUAAGAGUGAAUGCUUUGUUUUGUUUUGUUUUUCACUGAAAUAUUCCAGUCUGUAGCAGCUCCAAAUCACACUGAUCUUUCUAGAGUCUGAUACAGGUCCUGGUCUCAAGGCCAGUGUUACCAUAAUCACCAUCUUUUGUGCUUCAAGGUUGAGCCCUCCUAAUUUACCUGCAUGAAAUUGGAAAAGUCCUGUUUCAUACUUUAAGCAACCUAGAUGUCUCUUUCACUAAAAGUGGUAUUCUUCUUGUGUGUUUUUUUUUUUUUUUUUUGCAGCAAAUGAUGUCAACUUCUACCUACACCUGACAUCUCAAUUAAUUUUUGACAUUUUCUUCUUCACAUUUCCAUUUCAAAUCACCAAGUAUUGUCAGAUUUUACCUUCUCUCUAUUUCUUGAAUGAAUUUUUCUCUUUCUAUCUUCAUUGCCAUCAUGGAUUCCAGCCCAUCACUCUCUCACCUGGGCUAUGGUGC
RNAcentral lists this long non-coding RNA (1746 nucleotides) under Homo sapiens (human). Its description in RNAcentral is "HSALNT0352493". Lineage: Eukaryota; Metazoa; Chordata; Mammalia; Primates; Hominidae. The record is from RNAcentral.